CUGCAGUUGGCCAAUCAACACAGGACAGGAAAACAGAAAACACCCAUCUUCCAAGAAGCCAAAAGACACCGAACAUGUAGAUGCCUAAAGAAGAGAGGAUAGCUAUCCAGAAAGAACCAUCAAAUAAAGAAGACUCUGAUGUACUCAUGUGAACAAAAAAAUUCCUAGCAGUAAUCUUUGAACUCUCUGGAAAGAAGAUGGGGUCCCAUUUCAUCGAUUCCACUUGAUUCAACUUGAUGUCUUUGAACUUGCAAACACCACCCUAAAACUGGUUUGGGGCUAUACUGCCCUAGACAACUCCAGAGUAGCUAGCUGAUAUGGUGCACCUUCUUAUUACACCCUGGCCAGAGCUUCAGACUUUUGUUGCCCUGCAGGAUCCCAUGGAGUCAUCAUCCCAUUUCAACAGGAAGUAAUCCUAAGAAAACAACGCCUCCUUUCCCUACUGUUGGCAUUAAGGAACAAUCCUGACUGGCAACAUGCUUUUCACCAGCCAAACCACGUGUGUCCAGAUCUUAGAGGAAAAUGAAAUAAUGCCUCUAGGUUUGGAGGAACUGCUCGAUUAGCCUAGACUUCUCUAUCAAAUAGUGGUGAAAAUAAAAUGAAGGCAGGUACGAAAGAAUUUCCCUGGGAUGCUCACCAGCUUCUUAGGAAGUACCUUGGGGAUACAUGCUGUAGCAAAACUCUGGAAGUGCUCCCUGAAAGAGGAAGGUGCAGAGCACAGGAGACGCGAUCUCAUUCGGGGGAUGAGUAGUAGUUGUCUGGCCCGAGAUGACUCUGUCAGUGAUCCCAGCACCUGGAAAGCAACUGGUGGACAAAGGCACGGAAGAGGAGCCGUUAGCCUAAAUCUCCUUUUGUACCCCAGAUUCGUGUUCACUAUGACUUUUGUUUUGUUUUUAAGAUUUACUUUUGUUAUUU
Molecule: long non-coding RNA, 915 nt
Filed under: Cricetulus griseus (Chinese hamster)
Lineage: Eukaryota; Metazoa; Chordata; Mammalia; Rodentia; Cricetidae
Description: lncRNA (ENSCGRG00015032357.1)
Source: RNAcentral